UUCACUCUGAACUUAUUUUGAUUGAUUUAAUGUAUUUUCACAGUCCUCUUCUUUUUUUACCCCGCCCCCACUCUUCUCUUCUUUGCGGACAUUAGUUUCAUCUUUUUGAGGCUGUUGGCAUUUCCCCAAAAAGCUUUUUUUUGGUCAUUGAUUUCUCAAAAAACUAUCUGGUUGCUGAUUUAUUGUGGAGUUCCUCAUCUUUCUUGCAAGCAUCGAUUUUACGCUCCAGUUCUCGAUUUGCUGUCGUUCGCUGGUGCAUUUUUCAGGGCUCUUUUCCUAAAUUCUAACCUUUUAUUUAGAAUUCUAACCUCUCAGAAUUCAGAAAUCUGAAUUCUAGAAGCCUAUUGGUGAAAUUUAGUAUAUGAAACGAUUGAAUCUCGGUAUGCUCCUAGCCUUCAUUCCAAAAAAAAUUCAAGGCUCUUUUCCUGAAUUCUAACCUUUUAUUGAGAAUUCUAACCUCUCAGAAUUCAGAAAUCUGAAUUCUAGGAGCCUAUUGGUGAAAUUUAGUACGUGAAAUGAUUGAAUCUCAGUAUGCUCCUAGCCUUCAUUCGAAAAAAUGAACUAGAAACCUGGUCUUUUCAGUUUGAUUUUAGUAUUUGAUUUGUUUCUCUUCAGUGUUCUCAAAUUUGCAAUGUCAAAUUAAAUGAUUUUAAGUUCUAUCUUUUAUACUUUAGAUUACUAUCGUGCGCAAUAGAACAUCUGACUGUUGAGAUUGUUCAGUUGAUGGUCUCCGAUAUAAGCUUGGCAAUUGGGUGGGCUACAGAAUUCAUCAACACAAUUCGAAAUUCCAUCGAGAAAUCUGAAUUCAGCUCAAUUAAGCUAGGCAAUAUGUUGAAAUCAGCAUAUUGAAUUCAGAUUUCGGCUAGGUGAUUCAGAAUUGAAUAUGUUGAAUUCUAAAUGCGACAUAUUUUGAUUUCCUCCUGCAUAUGUUGGAUCCAGAUAUGCGUCGUUUGUGAUAAUGUUUUGUUGCUUUUGGGGUACUUUGCUUUCCUCGCUUUUAGUCCAGUCCUCCUAUUUUUUCGGAGUUUCUCUUCACUUCUUUUGUCCCAUGCUAUGAUGACCUUCCCCUUGAAUGUGAGAUAUUUGCGAUAAUUGAGAAUGGGCCAGGCCUUCUUGGUUGGUGAUAGGGGCACUUUCGAUGGCCUACUUCUUUACUGGUGAUAGGGGCACUUUGGAUGGCCUACUUCAUAGGCAACCAGUUGGCCUACUUCUUCACUGGUGGUAGGGACACUUUGGACGGCCUUCUUCCUAGGCAACCAAUUGCUCUUAUUUGUGCUAAGAAUGCUUUCAGUAUACAUGUCGGUUCUAACUCAGUCUCCAGUAUUGAGUGGGCAGGUUUCGGCACCAAUCUAAUAAUGUUCAAUGGUCGGGGGAGUCUGAGCAAAAUAUAUUUAUUUUCGCUAUUCGGUUUUCCUUACCUUGCUUCUAUAUAUAUAUGAAU
This 1441-nucleotide long non-coding RNA is filed under the name Ananas comosus (pineapple). RNAcentral's name for it is "long non-coding RNA (ACOM_LNC041863)". Lineage: Eukaryota; Viridiplantae; Streptophyta; Magnoliopsida; Poales; Bromeliaceae. The record is from RNAcentral.